AUCCCCACCCCCGCCCCUGCGCCCUGGCCGCGCUCUCUCUGGUCGUGGCCUUUCCUGGCAGGCUCCGUGGGCGACAAUAAAGAUGUUUUGGAGAGACUGCAGUCCCGAGAAGAACUCGUGCGUAGUUGGCACGGAUGAAGUACUCCGCCCGCUGCACGUGCGCGGCGGCCUGCCAGCCCGGGACACACUCCCACGCCCUAAGCCCGCGUCCCCGAGGCUAGCCGAGCCUGGCUGGCUUUAAGUGCUUCCACUUUCAGUCACUCUGCGAUGUCCUCCUGCCCUGCAGCGCCCUCGGAUCUUUUGUUUCACCUCGGAGGUGUCUUUACAGGCUUUUCGUCAGGCGCUGGCUUUUUCACCCCCUGCUCCACGCUCUAGCUUUUCCUAGUUGUCCUCUUGCAAUCCACGCUGUCGCCUGGCCACCCCAACCCAGGCUGUUCCCUCCCUACCUCCAGCCCAGCAGCGUCCCCUGCCCUCCUCUCUGAUCCUGUCGCUUCCCUGGCAUCUUCAUCCUGUGCUACUUGGCUGUUCAGUGCCCGUCACGUCACACCGAAGUUUGGGAUGAUGUCUCGUUAAGCUCUUCACAGAGCCGAGCACCAGCAAGGGACUGGGUAAAUAACCGCUUAGGAAUGCAAUGAAUGGCAGCCUUGUCUCUCCCAGUGUCAGUGAGCUAUCUUCAUAGGUUUGGAAAUGUGGUGUUCCUGUGUGCAAGUAUUUCGCAGUGAUUUAGAGGUGUUAAAAUACUUUGUUCUGAUGAAACAAGACUUUCUGAGGGACCUUUCUCUUGUAAUGACGACGAAUGAAGCUGGUGAUUAAGAAAACCUAAAAACCUGUUGAAACUGUUGUGUGACAGAAUCAAGUCAAAGGCACUGUUAACCAUCCUGCAGAGAUAAAGUUUAGCUUUCCUGUGUACACUCGGGGUCCAGAAUUCACCCUAGAGAAUUUUAUCAGUAAGAGCAAUUCCCGGUGAAGAUGUGAUAUUCUUUUGUAUGUAUUUUAUUUUGUUUUUAAUGCAGAGUCUCACUGUGCAGACCGAUCCUCAAACUCCACAUCUCCUACUUCAAAUUUAUUGCUCUACCUUUUGUGUUCGCAACAUUUAAAAUUCACUCUGUAGCCAUCGUGCUGGGUAACAGAGCACGAGAAAAGGCUCCUCCUGCCUAACUGCCCUUUGACCACCUCCCGCCCCCAUCCACCUCCCCCUCCACACACACAAUACUUACCUAACAGAAACGAAGGUGCAUUGUAAUAUAGGCUGUUUCUUGUUCCCCAAGAGAGAGACCCUGCCUAUUUCUAUAUAUGGUGUUCUCCUCUUUACUGUGUUUGCAUGAUAAGAAUGUGUUUUGUUUCCUUUUUUUUUUUUUAAAUUUAUCAGAGAGGGUAAAUAUAAAACAGAUGGAUAAUGUCGAUGGCAUACCUGUUAAUACUUUAGACUCAUUUAUAAUCAUAAACAAGUGAGGGCUAGGGAGGUGGCUCAUUAAGUGCUUACCACACAAGCAUGAGGACCUGAGGUUGACUCCCCAGAACCCACAGAAAGUUGGGCACCAUAGCAGGCAUCCGUAAUUCCAGGGCUUUCACGGAGAGACAACAGGAGAGACCUCUGAAGCUAGCCUGCUGUCAGAGACAACAGACCCUACCUGUAGAGUGUAGAAGGCAAGAAUUGAUACCCAAGGUUGUCCUCUGACCCCACUUGUGCACUGUGGGACACACACUUUCACGAGUACACCACAACAGAGAAGUACCCCAUGAACAAACAUGUACAUACAGAGAGCAUUUUAGUUUAUUUUUUAUGUAUAUGGGUAUUUUGCUUACAUGUAUGUCUGCACCACAUUCUUGCAGUGCCCAUGGAGGCCAGAAGAGGAAGACAAGGUGUCUGGGGCUGGACUUCCAGGUGGAGUUAUGAACCAGGUUGUUGUUGCUGAUACUCAAACCUAGCUCAUCUGGAAGAGAAAUGCUAAUAACUGACCUGAACUAUCUCUCCAGUCUCCCUCCCCCUCCCCCCCAAAAGAGAUUUGCUAAGAUCUACAAAUGGUGCACAUAAAAAUACCUUCAUUGAAAUUCUCAAUUGUGUUGCAGUUUCUCGGGCAACCAUCCUUUCACAGUGUGAUAGAAACCCAUAGCAUUGAAAAACCAAAAACAAACAAACAAACCCAUAGCAGCAGCUUUGAAAAUGAAAGGUGAUCGGUCAAUGUAUACAUUUUUAUGGGUUCAUCAGAAAUAAUUGCUAUAAUCUGUCUUUUAUGAAUGUAACACAAAACAAAAUUCACAUUAAGAGAAGAAGAAAAAAGAAAUCAUGGAAUAAAGACCUUGGGUUACUUAACCCCUUGGCAGUUUUAAACAAAUAACCCCGUGUUUUAUCUUCGAUUUUUAUAUAACAGGAGGUUUUCAAUUUAAUCUGUAUAGUGUGUUUAUGUCAAUAAAAAUUUACAAAU
RNAcentral lists this long non-coding RNA (2426 nucleotides) under Mus musculus (house mouse). Its description in RNAcentral is "long non-coding RNA chr15:96461187-96463613". Lineage: Eukaryota; Metazoa; Chordata; Mammalia; Rodentia; Muridae. The record is from RNAcentral.